Molecule: non-coding RNA, 212 nt
Organism: Pelobates cultripes (western spadefoot toad)
Lineage: Eukaryota; Metazoa; Chordata; Amphibia; Anura; Pelobatidae
Source: the annotation of a GenBank genome assembly
ACAGCUUUGGACAAAGUCUAUAGCCAGAGCAUUUCUAACUCCUCAUGCACAAGGUCUGACUGUGGAGACAGAAGACAUUUUGUUCAUUUGCUCUGCUCUUUCUCAUAGUUUACCUUCUCUCAGGUACCUGUGCCUAUCAAUAUUGUUUCACCUGUUUGGCUACAGUUUCUGGGAAAGUCCCUGGACUUGGGAGCAGUUGUAGGCCUUACAAA